CUUACAGCAUGUCAACAGAUAGUUCUUCAGUGGGAGUAGUGCAUGUGAUUCUUUGACUUGAGAUCACCAUGGUACCUUGUGUACACAAAUUCUUAAUUUGGUUUAUUCCCUAGCACACUACAUUGAGAUAUGUGUGAGAUAUUCUCGGUAUGGUGAAGUGUGCAUAGAGAUUGUGAGUGAUCAAUAAGGAAUCGAUUACCCCU
This 203-nucleotide long non-coding RNA is filed under the name Elaeis guineensis (African oil palm). RNAcentral describes it as "long non-coding RNA (EGUI_LNC056131)". The record is from RNAcentral. Lineage: Eukaryota; Viridiplantae; Streptophyta; Magnoliopsida; Arecales; Arecaceae.